This 529-nucleotide long non-coding RNA is filed under the name Cricetulus griseus (Chinese hamster). RNAcentral describes it as "lncRNA (ENSCGRG00000024909.1)". Lineage: Eukaryota; Metazoa; Chordata; Mammalia; Rodentia; Cricetidae. The record is from RNAcentral.
UUCCUCCUGACAGCUUGCUUGUCUUCUGGGGCUUUCGCUCAGUGAUGUAGUAGUUACCCCAAAACACAGGCCGCUUAAGACAAGUUAAUUAACUUGCCGGCGAGGUGGGAAGGAUCGCCCAGAGGCGACCUGGGUCUUAAAUAUCAGUUUGUGUCAAUACAUCUGUUUAAAUGUCUAGAGAACCCCCAAGAACUAUUGGAGAGACCAGGGGCUCAACCAUCACGUUCCUGUGUUGCCAUAAAACUGAUGACACUUACAGCAUCACCAGCGAAGAAGAGCCAAAGACUGAGUCUCUUGGGAAGCAGCUGGGCAAACUUCCAGAGGACUGAGCAUGUCUCUGCUGAUGUCAUCAAGGAAACCAGAGUCCUGACUUCCCUGGUGAAAUCAAAGUCUAGAAAGGACAGAGGACUGUUUAGAAGGACAAUCAAUGACAAGAAUUGUUACAAAUGGGUCCUUGCACUCUGUAUGGCUUCCUGGGAACAUCAACACCAUGCCAGAACUCUAAGAGCCUGCAAAGAAAUUCUCCACC